AUAACUUUAAUACUAAAUUCUGAAGAUACUUUUCUUCUACUUAAAUAAAUAAAAAAUGGAAAAAUAAAAACACCAAAAUAUCCUUGUGGACAGUGCAAUAAAAAUUUUGGUAAAACGGUCAUGGUAUUUUAUGUAAGGGAAUAUGGUAUCAUUGUAAAUGCACAUCUUUCUCUUUGGAGGAAUUUAAAAAUUUAGAGAAAUCUAACAAAAAGUGGAUUUGCCAUAAGUGCAUGUCUAUUGAUAUUACUUUGGGCUUGGAAGAUGUAAUAAUGAUAUAACUCAGGAGCUCUACUCACAACAAGCAAUAAUUAAAGCACUAAAUGAAGGAAAUACAGUAAUAAGACAACUAUGGAACCAUAAAACAUUCAACUUGAAAAUAUAAUAUUAAAGAAGGAAGAAACAAUAAUUUUACUGGAAAGGCAACUCAACUUGAAUAAUCAAACUAAAAAUCCUAAAAGCGUUAGUGAUGCAUUGAGACCUAAUGCAGUUAAUUUUACAACAUAGUUUUCCCAACUCACAAUCCACACCAGUCAGCACUAGUAGACCAUAUAACAUGGUGUGGAACUCUCAUACAAAUAAGGAUGUAUCUUUUACUUUGGCUGUUAAAGGAAAGAUGUGAUGAGUGAAGGAAUGAUGGUGAUCAAACAAAUGUGCAUAGAGUCUUCUCUCACCGAUGAUCUAGUAAGGACAGUUGACAAAAAAAUCCAAGAGAACAGACAUUUCACCAUGACAACGCUAUCUGAUGAUUUCCACAAAUUUCACGAACUCUUUUGUACGAAAUUAUUAUGGACCGCGUAGGUUAUCGUGUACUGUGUUCCCGAUGGGUUCCGAAAAUGCUCACUGACGUGCAAGAAACCAAGAGACUCGGAAGUGCUUUGAAUUUUCUAACACAGUACAGUUAUGAUGGUGAAGAUUUUUUUUAAACAAAAUUGUGACAGGUAAUGAAAACUUGGGUCUGUCACGUCACACCAGAAUCCAAACACCACUCGCCCUACAGCUCUGACUUGGCAUCAUCUGACCACCACUUCUUCCUGCACAUGAAGAGAGCAAUCUAGGCAACCUACACUUUGAAACCGACGAUGAAGUUAAAACAGCAGUGAAAGGUUUGGGCUUUCAUGAAGAAAUAAAAUUGUGUUAAAAAAUUG
Homalodisca vitripennis (glassy-winged sharpshooter) is the source of this 1145-nucleotide long non-coding RNA. RefSeq lists it as uncharacterized. The transcript has 2 exons. The record is from RefSeq and is a predicted model, not a curated record. NCBI's taxonomy places the organism in Eukaryota, Metazoa, Arthropoda, Insecta, Hemiptera, Cicadellidae.